Molecule: ribosomal RNA, 2116 nt
Filed under: human gut metagenome
Description: bacterial LSU rRNA
Rfam family: Bacterial large subunit ribosomal RNA
Source: RNAcentral
UGCCGCUUGCGAGGGCGUAUGGUGGAUGCCUUGGCAGACAGUACCGAUGAAGGACGUUUGAGGAUGCGAUAAUCCUAGGGGAGCCUCCAACAUGGCUUUGAUCCUAGGGUCUCCGAAUGGGGGACCCCGCCGGCCGUCAUGGGCCGGCACCGCCUAUGGGCGGGGGGUACGCAGGGAAGUGAAACAUCUCAGUACCUGCAGGAAGGGAUACUCCGUGAGUAGUGGCGAGCGAAAGCGGAUCAGACCAAACCGGUUGCGCGUGAUACCCGUCGGGGGUUGCGUUGCCGGUGUUGUGGGAUCACGUGUCCCGGUUCCGACGGGCCGGGCGGGAGUCAUAAAACGGCUUGCCAGGGGAACAGGCUUGAAGGCCUGGCCGUAGAGGGUGCCAGCCCCGUACCUGGACGUGAGCCGUCUUCCGAUCGUGUUGUCCCAAGUAGCGCGGGCCUCGUGGAAUCCCGCGUGAAUCAGCCCAGACCGUUGGGUAAGUCUAAGCAUACCUGUCUGACCGAUAGCGUACCAGUACCGUGAGGGAAAGGUGAAAAGCACCCCGGGAGGGGAGUGAAACAGUUCCUGAAACCGUGCGCCCACAAACCGUCGGAGCCUCCUUGUGGGGUGACGGCGUGCCUAUCGAAAAAUGAGUCUGCGAGUCAGUGGCGGGUGGCGAGCAUAAGCCGUGUGGCGUAUGCGUAGCGAAAGCGAGUCUUAAAAGGCGUUUGUAGUCGCUUGUCCUGGACCCGAAGCGGGAUGAUCUAGCCCUGGGCAGGUUGAAGCGCGGGUAAGACCGCGUGGAGGACCGAACCCACCUGGGUUGAAAACCGGGGGGAUGACCUGGGGCUAGGGGUGAAAGGCCAAUCAAAUUCCGUGAUAGCUGGUUCUCUCCGAAAUGCAUUUAGGUGCAGCGUCGGUCGAUUGCGUCGCGGGGGUAGAGCUACCGGAUGCUUGCGGGCCCUUGUUGGGUACCAACAGCAGCCGAACUCCGAAUACCGUUGACGUGUAUUCCGGCAGUGAGUCGGCGGGGGAUAAGCUCCGUCGUCGAGAGGGAGACAGCCCAGACCGUCGUCUAAGGUCCCGAAGCGUGUGCUAAGUGGGAAAGGAUGUGGAGUCGCAUAGACAGCCAGGAGGUUGGCUCAGAAGCAGCCAUCCUUGAAAGAGUGCGUAACAGCUCACUGGUCUAGUGGUUCCGCGCCGACAAUGUAGCGGGGCUCAAGCACACCACCGAAGACGCGGCAGCAAUCUUCAUGGUUGCUGGGUAGGAGAGCGUCCUGCGAGGGGCGAAGCGGCCGGGUAACCGUGCCGUGGACUUCGUGGGAGUGAGAAUGCAGACAUGAGUAGCGAGAGACGGGUGAGGAUCCCGUCCGCUGGAUGACCAAGGGUUCCGGGGCCACGUUCGUCGUCCCCGGGUGAGUCGGGUCCUAAGGCGAGGCCGACAGGCGUAGUCGAAUGGAUGAACGGGUGGAUAUUCCCGUACCGACCAUGGACCGGCAAAACCGAGACGGUGAGUACUAACCUCCGCCUCGUGGUGGUUCCUUCCUUCGGGUUGGUCCCGCCGCGUGGCGUUGGGACUGUAGCCGCAGUAGGUCAGCGCAGGGGUGACACGGAAUGGGAGCCGGCCGCGGAGGUGGUUUUCCGUGGUCAAGCACGCAGCCAGUCAUGUAGGCAAAUCCGCAUGGCGCGCAUGGCGAGGUGUGAUGAUGGGAGCCGUUAUGGCUCGAUAUCCGGUUGUCCAGGCCGUCGAGAAAAGCCUCGGCGUGAGGGCCAUGGCCGCCCGUACCCCAAACCGACACUGGUGGUCAGGUAGAGAAUACCAAGGCGAUCGAGCGAAUCCUGGUCAAGGAACUCGGCAAAUCACUCCCGUGCCUUCGGUAUAAGGGAGACCCACUGGGGUGAAGGACCUUGCGUCCGGAGCUUUGGUGGGUGGCACAGACCAGGGGGUAGCGACUGUUUACCAAAAACACAGGUGCAUGCGAAGGCGAAAGCCGCUGUAUAUGCACUGACGCCUGCCCGGUGCCGGAAGGUUAAGAGGAGAUGUCAGCGCAAGCGAAGCAUUGAAUUGAAGCCCCGGUAAACGGCGGCCGUAACUAUAACGGUCCUAAGGUAGCGAAAUUCCUUGUCGGGU